Molecule: long non-coding RNA, 415 nt
Filed under: Malus domestica (apple)
Lineage: Eukaryota; Viridiplantae; Streptophyta; Magnoliopsida; Rosales; Rosaceae
Description: long non-coding RNA (MDOM_LNC018307)
Source: RNAcentral
GCUAGCUAAACCCUCCAAGGAGGCCGGCCACUUUAGAGAGAAAGGAGAGCUUGUGUUCUCAUCCUUUCCCCACAAGAAAACCCUAAAUGAAUUUUGGCUAUAAAAUCAUAUUUAUAUCUUAAUUCAUUGGAGUGGCAAACUUGUAAAUAAGUCCAAAACUCACUCCAUCUCUAAAUAGCCGGCCUUAGGGUAUUAUUGGGCUAAUUGGGCCUUUGUGAAUCAUUAUUCAUUAAGUUGUCAUACAACUUAAUUCAAUGGGCUUGACGUUCGAAGCCCAUUGGGCCUUAAGGUCCAAAACUAUCACGAGGUCUUUAACGAACUUAUUCGUUUGAUUAAUUAACAUACUAAUUAAUCCUUGCCAUAAAUAAUUAAACCAUUUAAUUAUUCUUACUCAUCUCCAUUGUUUCUUCAAUCU